Long non-coding RNA from Gallus gallus (chicken), 2126 nucleotides. RefSeq lists it as uncharacterized. The transcript is spliced from 3 exons. NCBI's taxonomy places the organism in Eukaryota, Metazoa, Chordata, Aves, Galliformes, Phasianidae. The record is from RefSeq and is a predicted model, not a curated record.
CUAGCUCUAAGCUAGCUUCCCACACAGCAGGUAGGGCAUAUCUGUCCUGUGCCACGUAAACAUACAUUGAGCGAAACUACACUGAACAGAGCUAAAAUGUUUUAGAAAGCCAUUUCAUGCUUAGGCCUACUUCAGCCUGUUUAGUUCAUCGUAAGCUGUCUUCUCUCACUUUAGGAUAUGUCUUUAGCUGAGGUAAGCUAAAGCAAUAUGAAGUGGUUUUAAAUCUAUACACACACACAUGCAUUCAGUUUUGCAAUGGUUUAACUGAAGUGUUUUUCAAACCAGUUUAGUUAAUCAGAUACAACCUUUGUGUCUUGUCAGGCAGUGAAAUCCCACUGCUUUGAGAUCAACUGGACAUCCAGCAGCAUAGUCAGGGUUGUCUGUAGAAUAUUUAUGCUGUGCCAGUGCUGAAAGUGCCAUAUAGAAAAAACGACUUAUAGUCACAAAAGUUUACCAGGAGGCAGGAUCUGGAUUAACAUUAUCAAUCAUCAGCUUGUGUUUUUAGAGUAAUUAAAACCUGUAAUUUCCAAAUUGAUAACAACACUGAACUCCCCUGAGCCCUGCUUCCCUGUGAGUGUCUGAAGAAAAUAGUCCACACACCAAAAACAGAAUAAAGCCCCCAAACCUCAUGAAAAUAACAAUGAAAAUAAUGGCAAUCAAACUUUACUGGGAAAAAAAAAAAAAAAAAAAAAAGCCUUGAACUAUGCCAUAUGGCAGUAAAUCAUUGGGCUGGACAUGGAUAAACCACAGGGCAAGAAUAAAAUAUUCAUAGCAAUUAGUGGCAUAGACAGAAUAGAACCCCCUCUGUGCACUUGCCGUUGUUAUGGUGAUUUCUCCUCCCAACAUUCCCUCUUCUCCCACCAAUGCCAUUGGCUCUCUCCAUGGCUUUCCAUCUGGCUCUUGCUUUCUUGUUUAUCCCAAUGAAAUUAGCUCGACUGCUCAUUUGUCACCUUGGAGGUGUAGUAGCUGUGAACAUGUGCGGUGCAAGAGAGCAAGACAAGCAGAUGGUACUUGAGAAUAGAUAAACAGACAGAUGCAUUAAAGAGACAGCAAAAUGCUGGUCACCCCAAAGGCUUCUUUGUGCACAGAUGAAUUUUCAAGCAGCAGCUGGAAUAGCUGAGGCAAAACCUGGAGCUACCUUGGAGCCUGGCCUUGGUUUCAGGGAAGCCAGAUGGAUCUGUCCAUAUCUGAGCCAUACUGAUUCUUCUUUCCUUGACGGGAGAUGGAUUCCCUGCUCUCUGUAUCCUGCAGAGAAAAGAUUUUGCUGCACAAGGUGUGUAUGUUUUCAUUUAUCACUUGCAAAAUGUCUCUCUAACACAAAUAAUGGAUGUAUGUGGGGAAUUAGACUCAAUGUAGGGUAAUCUAUUGUCUCAGAGACAGUACCUUGACAUCCUGCGUACCUUGAGCCCCAGAUGAAUUAUUUUGUCCUUGGAUUAGUUUUGAAUUAUGUACAUUUCCAUCAAGUCUCACUUGAAGAUGAGACACAUGAACGUAUUCAACAUACUUGACACACCUCAGUCAGCCAGGCCCCCAGACAUCUCACUGCUACACCAGAAGUUCCCAAUGAAGGGCAGAGCUCAGCCAUACUCCUUGGGGUGAUGGAUCAGAUACUGUUCUCCCCACCUCAGCUCUGUGCUUGGAAAACUAAGCUUGAAAGCUUCUGUUUCUAUGAGAUGCACCCUUUUACACUGGAUCUGGUGUUAUAUGAGGUGAAUUCUCCUAGCUCUUUCUAGUUUUGCUGAGAAAUUCUGUUUAUGCCAAACAUUUGAGGACAUAAGUUAAGAGCUGCUGGGCUGUUUCAGCUGACAGACAUAUCAGCAGAACCUUACCUCUGAGCAGAUAAGAAAGGUAAGUUUAAGAUUUGGAGACUAUGGCUGGACUGUUUAGAGACACUGUGUUGUAAUGAAAUAAUGGGAGGCCAACGGGCUUCAGAUACCUGGUGCACAAAAGGAAAAAAAAAGGAAACUCGGUACACUAAAUCCAAAGUUUGUUUUCAAAUAAAAACAUAGUCAAGUUCUCUUGAAAUUUCAGUUUGUCCCUUUCUAUAGAGGGAGUGACAUACAGAGAAAAUUUUCAUACAUAACAUGCACUGAUUUCCUUUGUAAAACAGAUUUAAGAAUUAGGAA